CCUACGGGAGGCUGCAGUGGGGAAUAUUGCACAAUGGGGGCAACCCUGAUGCAGCGACGCCGCGUGAAUGAGGAAGUAUUUCGGUAUGUAAAGCUCUAUCAGCAGGGAAGAAAAUGACGGUACCUGUCUAAGAAGCCCUGGCUAACUACGUGCCAGCAGCCGCGGUAAUACGUAGGGGGCAAGCGUUAGCCGGAUUUACUGGGUGUAAAGGGAGCGUAGACGGUUAAUCAAGUCAGAAGUGAAAACCCAGGGCUCAACCUUGGGACUGCAUUUGAAACUGGGUAGCUAGAGUGCAGGAGAGGUAGGCGGAAUUCCUAGUGUAGCGGUGAAAUGCGUAGAUAUUAGGAGGAACACCGAUGGCGAAGGCAGCUUACUGGACUGUAACUGACGUUGAUGCUCGAAAGCGUGGGGAGCAAACAGGAUUAGAUACCCGAGUAGUC
This 440-nucleotide ribosomal RNA is filed under the name uncultured bacterium. Its description in RNAcentral is "partial 16S ribosomal RNA". It matches the Rfam family "Bacterial small subunit ribosomal RNA", at positions 338 to 795 of the family's 1533-position model. The record is from RNAcentral.